Molecule: long non-coding RNA, 314 nt
Filed under: Cyanistes caeruleus (blue tit)
Lineage: Eukaryota; Metazoa; Chordata; Aves; Passeriformes; Paridae
Description: lncRNA (ENSCCEG00000019921.1)
Source: RNAcentral
UAUCCAGUCAGAGCCAAGGGAGAGCAACACGUGUCAAGGCACUGGGAGGCCAUCCAAGAGGGCAUUGCAGAGGCACUGAAUACAUGGCAUUGCUGUUAACAUUUUGGCAGACCAGGAAGAAGGGGAAAAAAAGAAAAGUACCAGCUCUGUUUUAAUACUGAUACUUGGGUGUGGUGAGUUCAGCACAGCCUGUGCAGGACAGCCAUUAUGUGAAAUGGCAUGUAAGGUUUUCUUGUUUUACUUUUCCUUCUGUCCUUCAUAUGGCUGCAACAAAGAGGUCUUCAGGCUUUUCCAUUUCUCAGGGCCCUUCUGAA